CGGAACAGGCGGGCCUUGAUCCCACAAAUACUAGUUAACAGCUAGUUACCCAAUCCAGCGGGCUUCCAUUCG
This 72-nucleotide transfer RNA is filed under the name Anolis gadovii (Gadow's anole). RNAcentral's name for it is "tRNA-Asn". Lineage: Eukaryota; Metazoa; Chordata; Lepidosauria; Squamata; Anolidae. The record is from RNAcentral.